Molecule: ribosomal RNA, 495 nt
Filed under: uncultured organism
Description: SSU rRNA
Rfam family: Bacterial small subunit ribosomal RNA
Source: RNAcentral
GGCUCAGGAUGAACGCUAGCGACAGGCUUAACACAUGCAAGUCGAGGGGCAGCGCGGGUGUAGCAAUACAUCUGGCGGCGACCGGCGCACUGGUGAGUAACACGUAUGCGACCUGCCCCGGACAGGGGGAUAAACCCGGGAAACUGGGCCUAAUACCCCAUAUGCCAUGAUGCCGCAUAGCUUCAAGGUGAAAGAUCCGUCGGUCCGGGAUGGGCAUGCGGCGCAUUAGCUAGUUGGCGGGCAACGCCCACCAAGGCGACGAUGCGUAGGGGUUCUGAGAGGAAGGUCCCCCCACACUGGUACUGAGACACGGACCAGACUCCUACGGGAGGCAGCAGUGAGGAAUAUUGGACAAUGGCCGGAAGGCUGAUCCAGCCAUGCCGCGUGCGGGAAGACGGCCCUAUGGGUUGUAAACCGCUUUUGUUGGGGAGCAAUAAGGUCCACGUGUGGAUUGAUGAGAGUACCCAGCGAAUAAGCAUCGGCUAACUCCGUGCC